Long non-coding RNA from Herpailurus yagouaroundi (jaguarundi), 3307 nucleotides. RefSeq lists it as uncharacterized. NCBI's taxonomy places the organism in Eukaryota, Metazoa, Chordata, Mammalia, Carnivora, Felidae. The record is from RefSeq and is a predicted model, not a curated record. The transcript has 7 exons.
CUCCGGGGAACAUCAGAUCUGCCAUCACUUAGUAAAAGGCAUUUGGUGGCUUGACUCUUUUCAAUCGUAAAUUCUCUUGGUUCAUUUAAAGUUAGAGUCCAUUUUUAAGGAUUCCAUUUCCACGUGAUUUGUUGGUUUGUUUUCAGGAACAUCACUCUGUUCGUGGCUUCCAGGCUGAUGUCCCCACCUCACCAGGGGACGCCAGACGAGGAUGUUGGCCCCUGAGACUUUCCUAGGAGAAGCAUGGCUAACACCGUGGAGUGUUUCCACGGCCAGGAGCUAGCUAGCUGCUCUGUGUAUCUCAUCUGCUUUCUCUCUUACUCUCGAGAGCCAGCCUCUGAGGGAAGCAUGGUCAUUGUCUCCAUUUCUCAGGUGCGUGGGUACCCGCGGGCCACACCGGUGACCACAUGGCCCCGCAGAAAACGGGAAGGCACUGCACAGCCAGCCACUGGCAAGACAGGGUUGAGGGGAAAGCACUGCUUCUGGCCCUUCGGGCAAAUUACCUACCACAUCUGAGGCCAGUUUCUUUAUCAGUGAAAUGAAGGUAACAUCUGCUUACCUGCUAGUGGGUGCUAGUGGGACCGGCUGGAAUUCAUGAAACCCCCACGAUCAAGAAAACAAUAGAUCAAGUUUGCUCAUAUCUGGGAGCUCAUACCCCCCUCCCCCCACGGCCGCUUGUGAGCUCUCAGUGUGACAUUGCUGAGCUGAAUCAUGAAGACAGGUGCUUCUUCCCGGUAGCUGGUGUUGCCAUCGUUCAGACAGCGGGGAAAAACGGAAGAGUGUGGAUUAACGGUGAAACACGGUAGUAAUGACUGAGUUUUGAUGACUGAUUACCUCUGUUUUUACCGAAGUUCAUUAAUUUUAGUAAUGAUUGUAUUUAACAGCAAAAUUCUGAAAAUGGGGCAGUGGGUUCUUGCGGGUGAUGCUAAGCUGGCUGCAGCAGGUGUGGCCACAGGGACCCUACACCGAGGGCAGCUCUGCCCCCCAGGAUGUCCGGAGGAGAGCCAGUUGCCGGGUGUCCUCUGAGGCCCUGUGGGGUCAGGUGGUUGUUAGGGCCCUUGAAAGCCAUGAACGACCUAUCCUUCCUCAUCCUCCACAUUCCCGCCUGGCGAGGAAGCCCAUCAGGAAGCCGUCCUGACUGGCAGGCUGGAGACCAGGCAUGAAUUUGGGGACAUGAGGGAGAAUGUCACUCUGUUGCCCCACCCUCGCACACAAGGGCACCCUACUAUCCUCCUAGUUUCCUCUUAGGACAUGGCUGGGACUGGAGUCCCGGACUGGGGACACCCAUUACUGUUUUGGGGGUGUGUGUCUUUGGGCCAAGUAUUCUCCUGAGUCUCUGAGCCUCAGUUUCCUCAGAGCACAAUGGGGAUGCUCUAGCCAAUGGCUGUGAGGAGAGGGAUGGAGAGGAGGCAGCUCACAGCUGCACCCUCCACAGAUCCCAGGGGCUGGGGUAGUUUUUCCCACACCAGAGUUCUUCAUGAGAGCUUCAGGGAGCUGGAAACAUCCUCACAUCUCCAGAUCCCAUGACAAAGAGGAAUGACUUCCGUCUUCCACAAUUCAGGGGUGGGCGCAGCACCCAGGAGCUGUGCAUUCUCAGCCAGAAGGACUUGCAGGGGAACAAAGUUGACGGUGUUGAGCAGGCCUUCCAGAGUGUUCUGUGAUCAGCCCCAGACUGAGCUUCUUCACUCUUUUUCCGUCUCUGUUUCACUCUUUUUCCGUCUCUGUUUCACUCUUUUCCGCCUGUUUGGGUUUGGUCACUCUGAGCGGUAUGCAGGAGGCAUUUACUGUGGGGAAUCAGGCCACAUGCGGUUGUGGGAGCUGGUGAAGAAGUCCAGGGAAGGCUGUGCCUCUGGGUGGGCAGGGCUGGCUGUUGUAGAGAAAAGCAGAUGUGAAUGGGGGCAAGGAGAGGCUGGAAACCACGGGCACAGAGUGGCCCUGAGUCUAUCACCUCCCACCUCUGUGACGUGGUGACCUGGUGGAGCUGGCUGCACACAUACCUAGUCCGGGGCUCGGAACCCAUCGAUGAAACAGAGGCGCCACUGGAUGGUUUCUGUCCAAGCCAACAGUGGGCACCGGCCACCCCAUGACACUGUGAGAGCCACAAAAGCACCCAGCUUAGCCAAGCUGAUGUGGUGAAAAGCCACCACUGCAAUAUGCUUCUGGAGUACCAAGCGCUUUUGGACCUUCUCAUCGUUCUUCCAGGUUCCUAUGCCUCUGCAUGGAGUGUUUGUUCCAGCCAUGGCACCAGGAAAACUCCUACAGCACCUUCAAAACCCUGCAGAGACAUCACCUCCUCUGAGAAGAAUUCCCUGAUACCUGCCCUCCAGGACUAGUCCUGUACUUCACACAUGGUGACUGCCUCUGUUGUACCUGCGAGAUGCCUCAAGGGGACAAGCUGUGCCUGUUUGACGGCUCAGGAAUUUAAACAUGCCUUUGUGGGAUGAAAUCGAAUACAUCAGUUCAUGAUGCUCUGCCAGCCAAGCUGGGGCUUCUGGUGUCCUGGGGCCACGUGAACGGAGCAGAGACACCGCCAGCUCCUAUGUUCUCCGGGGCCUUCUUGAGCUGUGGCCGCUGCUCCAAAGUCCCAGGCAGCUGAUGCGGACCUGUGUCUGCGGCGCCCACGAAAGACGGUGCUUUCAUGAGAGCGGCCUGCCCUUUCUGAGCCCUUCUGUGAGCCGUGGGAUUCCAAAUGCUCUGAAUGCAUUAGCUGACACUCACACGGUCCCCAUGAGAUAGACACCCUUCAGCAGAUGAGGAAGCCAGCCUGGAGGAUCACAGUGCAAGGGGAAGUUCUAGAGCAAAGACGAGAAGGAGGGAUCUGUGUGUGGCGGGAGAGGGCCAAGAAUACACUCCAGGUGAACCUGUACCGAGCUCCGGGAACGAGAGUAUCUGGGUAUGCAGAGCCACUUUCAGUAACAGAAGAGGGAAGAGCGACCAAGACUCUCGAGUCCUUGACUAUAUUGUCAGACACACUACAGUUUGGUAAACUGAGAACUUGGGGCCAUGGUUCUGGCUGAUUCGGGCUGCGUGGGGCUGAGCCUCCUCUGAAGGCCAGGGGUCCUGGACUGUCCAGGCUGGCUCCCCUGCAGAGGGGGCAGCCCCUACUUUAUUAAGGUUUAUACUACAAACUGAGGGUCGACCACUGAUGCCUUUGGAACAUUCGGCUUUCCUGACUCACAGAAACCCUGAGGUACAGAAAUCCCAGGGGAACACACUGCACAGUCAUCUGGGGCUAGUCUCUUGUUCUGAUUUUUUUUUUUGUGUCUCCCUCCCCGAAAUCCCUCCAACAAAUACAUGAGCCAGUCCA